AAGAACCCUGGUGCUAGCUACACAUGCAGUCGCAGGGUAACAUGAGGAAAGCUUGCUUUCCUUGAUGACGACUGGCGCACGGGUGAGUAACGCGUAUCCAACCUUCCCAUAACUACGGGAUAACCCGUUGAAAGACGGCCUAAUACCGUAUGAUAUCGUUUGCUGACAUCAAAUAACGAUUAAAGGUUUAGCGGUUAUGGAUGGGGAUGCGUCUGAUUAGCUUGUUGGCGGGGUAACGGCCCACCAAGGCUACGAUCAGUAGGGGUUCUGAGAGGAAGGUCCCCCACAUUGGAACUGAGACACGGUCCAAACUCCUACGGGAGGCAGCAGUGAGGAAUAUUGGUCAAUGGGCGAGAGCCUGAACCAGCCAAGUAGCGUGCAGGAUGACGGCCCUAUGGGUUGUAAACUGCUUUUAUGUGGGGAUAAAGUGCGCGACGUGUCAUGCAUUGCAGGUACCACAUGAAUAAGGACCGGCUAAUUCCGUGCCAGCACC
RNAcentral lists this ribosomal RNA (493 nucleotides) under Prevotella sp. 1-8. RNAcentral describes it as "bacterial SSU rRNA". It matches the Rfam family "Bacterial small subunit ribosomal RNA", at positions 31 to 515 of the family's 1533-position model. Lineage: Bacteria; Pseudomonadati; Bacteroidota; Bacteroidia; Bacteroidales; Prevotellaceae. The record is from RNAcentral.